UACGUAGGGUCCGAGCGUUGUCCGGAAUUAUUGGGUGUAAAGAGCUCGUAGGCGGUUUGUCGCGUCUGCCGUGAAAGUCCGGGGCUCAACUCCGGAUCUGCGGUGGGUACGGGCAGACUAGAGUGAUGUAGGGGAGACUGGAAUUCCUGGUGUAGCGGUGAAAUGCGCAGAUAUCAGGAGGAACACCGAUGGCGAAGGCAGGUCUCUGGGCAUUAACUGACGCUGAGGAGCGAAAGCAUGGGGAGCGAACAGG
This 253-nucleotide ribosomal RNA is filed under the name uncultured bacterium. RNAcentral describes it as "partial 16S ribosomal RNA". It matches the Rfam family "Bacterial small subunit ribosomal RNA", at positions 524 to 776 of the family's 1533-position model. The record is from RNAcentral.